UAGUGGUUGAAGCUUCCGGCUGCCCUGAUGUGGAAGAAAAGACCAAGAUUAUCAUCUUGAAUGUUUGCUGCGAUGCUAACCGAACCGUGAAUCCAUUGGUUUCUAUCAAAGUUUCUUGGGUUAUCAACCCUCCACAGACCCACCGUAUGUGGAGGGAUGCGAUAUGGGUUUAUAGGGGUACCAAGGAGAUCAGCAUGUUGGAACAAGAUCAGUCAUUCGCCAGCUGUCAGAUUGUUGUCAACAAAGUGCGCAAUGACUGCUUGAACCUCUUGAGGAAGUGCUAUGUCUUUUUUUUGUCACAAGCAGUCAUUGCGCACUCUGUUGAUCGAAAUCCAAAAUACCCGAUCCGAACGCCAACAGGUACCCGAACGCCCAGACCUAAUUAGAAUGAUCUCUUUUGGGUUAUUACGUCCAAGAACUUAUCUUGUUUUUUUUUAACUUUAAAAGCAACAAUUUUAGUAGUUUAAUGUGUUUAAGAAACAUUAUGAGAGAUUAGUUACGCAAUAAAUUAGUUCUUUUUUGUUUGUUUGUUUGUUUUGUUAAGAUAAGAUAUCAAUGUGGGUAGAAUGAUCUCUUUUGGUCUAUUCCGUCCAAGAACUUGUCUUGUUUUUCUAACUUUAAAAGCAACAAUUUUAGUAGUUUAAGUAACCUUUUAGACAGAUUGAUUCACAUCUCUUAUAACUUUUUUGUAUUAUGAUGUGUGUCUGACCCAUUGUUGUCACUAGAUAACAGGCUGACCUUCGGUGAUCAUUUCCCUGGUGUAGUGAAUCCCUUAGAUGGGUAAAACCUCUCUUCUUGUAAAAUCAUUAUAUCUUUCUGAAACUCUUUAUUCUUGGUUACUUAGUGUGAAGUGGACUCAAGAGGCAUUGAAUGGCAUGUAUCAAUAUUUUAUCAAGAUGUUAAAGGCCAUGUUAUUCAGUCAAACCAGGUUGGGACUUGGCAGUUCUCUGUGGCUGAGCAUUUCGAGAAACAGAAGCAGGACGCACACAAUUACUGCCUGGUGUUUUCUUUUUCUAUGAUCUUUCUCCAAUUAAGGUAUCUCAGAAUCAGACACUGUUGUGUGUGAAUACUUGUAUGCAUGUGUUACUAGUUUAUCCUCAUUUCUAACAAUUUACUUUUUGCGUGUUGGUGCAAGUGAUUUUCACAGAGCAGCAAGUGGAGUUCUUGCACUUCCUCAGUAAUGUUUGCGCUAUAUAUAGUAGGAGGUGUGACUGAUCUCUCUCUCUCUCUCUCUCUCUCUCUCUCUCUCUCUUGCAAUCAAUGUACAUUCUUUGCAAAUGUAACAUAGAAUGUGUUCAGAGCUUUGCCUCCUUUGGUUUUCACUUCAGCUCUCGUAACCGUUAGACUAUUCUCACGGAAAAUCCUAGUCACGUUUGACAACAAGCAUACUCUAUCUUUAGUGCACAGUUCCAACUUCAAUCCCUAUGAGGAGAAGAAGAAACUCAUCUUCAGUUACAGUUACUAAAAAGAGUAGACUACUAUGUAUUACUUUUGCUUCGCUGUCUCUGAUUUUACAGGGGAACCAUCUAUAUGUCUCACAUAAUACUCCUGAAAAUCGAAAAAAAAACCAAUAAGAGAAUGGAUUCAGGGUAGAUUUUUCUUGUUCUAGUGUGGUGAGAUUUUUACCUGAUAUGCCUCUGUGCCUUCAGUAUCAACACUUCCAUGGAAAACCACAUACUGCAUAUCUGUCAAAGUACAGACAGUAUCAAACAGAAGCUUUGGUCUGUCUUUACAUCUAACUGUAAACACAGAGUAAUCCUUAUCAAGCCAAUUAUCAACACAAACAUCUGGUCUCUGCCUUUCAUCUUGCACAGAGGAGGAAUCAUCGUCCACCACCACACAGUGCUUGUACACUACAAACAUCUGGUCUCUGCCUUUCAUCUUGCACAGAGGAGGAAUCAUCGUCCACCACCACACAGUGCUUGUACACUACAAGAAAACAUAAGUUUAACGACGGCGGUAUUCUUCGUGAGUUCGUCGUAAAAGAAGCUUUACGAAGAAUUAGCGAAGAAACACUUUUCGUCGUUACUCGUUCGUCGUAAUGCAUAUUUCCUCGCCAAUUCGUCGUAACUUAGCGAGAAAAACAUUUCGUCCUAAACACAGAAGUACCAUAUUGCUGACAUAUUAUAUGCGCAACUACGUGUUAACGAAUUUGACUAGUUAAUAACGAGACACGAUGUGCAACUAUAUAUAUUUUGAUUUGGACAGCAAGGAACUCAAUUAUAUCUUCCUGCAAUUCAUGCAACAGAAAAACGGACAGAUCGAUUAAUAGCAUUAACAUAUAUGAUAGCGAUGCACACGCGGGCAAACGCAAACUCACGUUUCUAUAUUCUACGUCUAAAAAUAUCACAACUAUUUAGAGCGAGGAAUGGAUGCUGUUGGAUUUCCAUAAUGACUGUUUCACGUAUUUUAUUUUAUAAUGAAAAAAAGAAGAAGCUAUUCAUUACGUAAUUGAUGGUAGCAUGGAAUCCCUGGUCUUAUGACUUAUUCGCGAGGCACACCAUGUUACUAAUUUAAAAUUUCAAGGCAUCUUAUAUUUUAUGUCAACUAUAUAUUCGCUCAAGAAAAUUACACAGGUUAUUUAUUUUUGAAAAAAUAAGAACUUAAGUCUUCCCCCUGACCAGAGAAAUUAUUGGGUUGACCUCUUCACCAUCUAAUAGUGUUUGAGUAUUUGAUAUUUGAUAUCUUUUAAAAAAGGAAAUAAAAUUGAAUAUCCAAAUUAAAUUAUAUUUUUAAAAUAAAAUAAUAAAAAUACAUAAAAAU
Long non-coding RNA from Brassica napus (rape), 2763 nucleotides. RefSeq lists it as uncharacterized. The transcript has 3 exons. NCBI's taxonomy places the organism in Eukaryota, Viridiplantae, Streptophyta, Magnoliopsida, Brassicales, Brassicaceae. The record is from RefSeq and is a predicted model, not a curated record.